CCAGACUCCUACGGGAGGCAGCAGUGGGGAAUAUUGGACAAUGGACCGAGAGUCUGAUCCAGCAAUUCUGUGUGCACGAUGAAGUUUUUCGGAAUGUAAAGUGCUUUCAGUUGGGAAGAAAGAAAUGACGGUACCAACAGAAGAAGUGACGGCUAAAUACGUGCCAGCAGCCGCGGUAAUACGUAUGUCACGAGCGUUAUCCGGAUUUAUUGGGCGUAAAGCGCGUCUAGGUGGUUAUAUAAGUCUGAUGUGAAAAUGCAGGGCUCAACUCUGUAUUGCGUUGGAAACUGUAUAACUAGAGUACUGGAGAGGUAAGCGGAACUACAAGUGUAGAGGUGAAAUUCGUAGAUAUUUGUAGGAAUGCCGAUGGGGAAGCCAGCUUACUGGACAGAUACUGACGCUGAAGCGCGAAAGCGUGGGUAGCAAACAGGAUUAGAUACCCUGGUAGUCCACGCUGUAAACGAUGAUUACUAGGUGUUGGGGGUCGAACCUCAGCGCCCAAGCAAACGCGAUAAGUAAUCCGCCUGGGGAGUACGUACGCAAGUAUGAAACUCAAAGGAAUUGACGGGGGCCCGCACAAG
Molecule: ribosomal RNA, 581 nt
Filed under: uncultured bacterium
Lineage: Bacteria
Description: bacterial SSU rRNA
Rfam family: Bacterial small subunit ribosomal RNA
Source: RNAcentral